CAGGCUUAACACAUGCAAGUCGAGGGGCAGCAUGGUCUUAGCUUGCUAAGGCCGAUGGCGACCGGCGCACGGGUGAGUAACACGUAUCCAACCUGCCGUCUACUCUUGGACAGCCUUCUGAAAGGAAGAUUAAUACAAGAUGGCAUCAUGAGUCCGCAUGUUCACAUGAUUAAAGGUAUUCCGGUAGACGAUGGGGAUGCGUUCCAUUAGAUAGUAGGCGGGGUAACGGCCCACCUAGUCUUCGAUGGAUAGGGGUUCUGAGAGGAAGGUCCCCCACAUUGGAACUGAGACACGGUCCAAACUCCUACGGGAGGCAGCAGUGAGGAAUAUUGGUCAAUGGGCGAGAGCCUGAACCAGCCAAGUAGCGUGAAGGAUGACUGCCCUAUGGGUUGUAAACUUCUUUUAUAAAGGAAUAAAGUCGGGUAUGGAUACCCGUUUGCAUGUACUUUAUGAAUAAGGAUCGGCUAACUCCGUGCCAGCAGCCGCGGUAAUACGGAGGAUCCGAGCGUUAUCCGGAUUUAUUGGGUUUAAAGGGAGCGUAGAUGGAUGUUUAAGUCAGUUGUGAAAGUUUGCGGCUCAACCGUAAAAUUGCAGUUGAUACUGGAUAUCUUGAGUGCAGUUGAGGCAGGCGGAAUUCGUGGUGUAGCGGUGAAAUGCUUAGAUAUCACGAAGAACUCCGAUUGCGAAGGCAGCCUGCUAAGCUGCAACUGACAUUGAGGCUCGAAAGUGUGGGUAUCAAACAGGAUUAGAUACCCUGGUAGUCCACACGGUAAACGAUGAAUACUCGCUGUUUGCGAUAUACUGCAAGCGGCCAAGCGAAAGCGUUAAGUAUUCCACCUGGGGAGUACGCCGGCAACGGUGAAACUCAAAGGAAUUGACGGGGGCCCGCACAAGCGGAGGAACAUGUGGUUUAAUUCGAUGAUACGCGAGGAACCUUACCCGGGCUUAAAUUGCAGAUGAAUUACGGUGAAAGCCGUAAGCCGCAAGGCAUCUGUGAAGGUGCUGCAUGGUUGUCGUCAGCUCGUGCCGUGAGGUGUCGGCUUAAGUGCCAUAACGAGCGCAACCCUUGUUGUCAGUUACUAACAGGUUCCGCUGAGGACUCUGACAAGACUGCCAUCGUAAGAUGUGAGGAAGGUGGGGAUGACGUCAAAUCAGCACGGCCCUUACGUCCGGGGCUACACACGUGUUACAAUGGGGGGUACAGAGGGCCGCUACCACGCGAGUGGAUGCCAAUCCCCAAAACCUCUCUCAGUUCGGACUGGAGUCUGCAACCCGACUCCACGAAGCUGGAUUCGCUAGUAAUCGCGCAUCAGCCACGGCGCGGUGAAUACGUUCCCGGGCCUUGUACACACCGCCCGUCAAGCCAUGGGAGCCGGGGGUACCUGAAGUGCGUAACCGCGAGGAGCGCCCUAGGGUAAAACUGGUGACUGGGGCUAAGU
RNAcentral lists this ribosomal RNA (1439 nucleotides) under uncultured bacterium. RNAcentral describes it as "16S ribosomal RNA". It matches the Rfam family "Bacterial small subunit ribosomal RNA". RNAcentral also lists the same sequence under 1 other name. The record is from RNAcentral.